This 75-nucleotide transfer RNA is filed under the name Gammaproteobacteria bacterium. Its description in RNAcentral is "tRNA-Gly". It matches the Rfam family "tRNA". Rfam says of the family: Transfer RNA (tRNA) molecules are approximately 80 nucleotides in length. Their secondary structure includes four short double-helical elements and three loops (D, anti-codon, and T loops). Further hydrogen bonds mediate the characteristic L-shaped molecular structure. tRNAs have two regions of fundamental functional importance: the anti-codon, which is responsible for specific mRNA codon recognition, and the 3' end, to which the tRNAs corresponding amino acid is attached (by aminoacyl-tRNA synthetases). tRNAs cope with the degeneracy of the genetic code in two manners: having more than one tRNA (with a specific anti-codon) for a particular amino acid; and 'wobble' base-pairing, i.e. permitting non-standard base-pairing at the 3rd anti-codon position. The record is from RNAcentral. Lineage: Bacteria; Pseudomonadati; Pseudomonadota; Gammaproteobacteria.
GCGGGAAUAGCUCAGUGGUAGAGCACAACCUUGCCAAGGUUGGGGUCGCGGGUUCAAACCCCGUUUCCCGCUCCA